RNAcentral lists this ribosomal RNA (253 nucleotides) under uncultured bacterium. RNAcentral's name for it is "partial 16S ribosomal RNA". It matches the Rfam family "Bacterial small subunit ribosomal RNA", at positions 524 to 776 of the family's 1533-position model. The record is from RNAcentral.
UACGUAGGGACCAAGCGUUGUUCGGAUUUACUGGGCGUAAAGGGCGCGUAGGCGGCGCGGUAAGUCACUUGUGAAAUCUCUGAGCUUAACUCAGAACGGCCAAGUGAUACUGCAGUGCUAGAGUGUGGAAGGGGCAAUCGGAAUUCUUGGUGUAGCGGUGAAAUGCGUAGAUAUCAGGAAGAACACCCGUGGCGAAAGCGGCUCUCUGGAACGGUACUGACGCUGAGACGCGAAAGCGUGGGGAGCGAACAGG